Molecule: long non-coding RNA, 2266 nt
Organism: Chionomys nivalis (European snow vole)
Lineage: Eukaryota; Metazoa; Chordata; Mammalia; Rodentia; Cricetidae
Exons: 8
Source: RefSeq, a predicted model, not a curated record
CUCUGUCUGUGUGUUUGUGUAUUUUAACCUCUAGCCCCUUACCCCUAGCUCACAAACUGUAUGGUAGCACAUAGAGCGCAUACAGGCAUUGUGUGCUGCGCACCUGGUCUUGAUUUAAUUUGGGUAUUUGGAUUUUAUCUAAAAACAAGUCCAUCUCUUUUACAUUUUCCAACUUUGUCACAUAUAGGCUUUUAAACAAGACCCAAUGAUUCUCUGAAUUUCCUCAGUGUCUGUUGUUAUGGCUCCAUUUUCAUUUCUGAUCUUGUUAUUUUGCAUGUUCUCUCUCUUCCUUUUAACUAGUUUGGAUAGGGGUUCGUCAAUUUUGUUGAUUUUACUCAAAGAACUAGCACUGUUUCCUUGAUUCUUUGGAUUGUUUUCUGUGUUUCUAUUUUGUUGAUUUCAACCCUCAAUUUGAUUUUUCCAGUCUUCUCCUCCUUGGACUGAAUGGCUGCGGGACCAGGUGGGACAGAAAUCACUUUCAACAGAAGGUUCCCUUGAAUGUUGAGAAGAUCCGAGAACUCACAAAUGGAGCAAUGUGUAUUUUAGCCAACCUGAGCUUCGGGUGACCCGUGGUUAAUGCUAAGGGGACUCCGUAUAAGGAGAAAUUUGCACAAGAUCCGAGAACUCACAAAUGGAGCAAUGUGUAUUUUAGCCAACCUGAGCUUCGGGUGACCAGUGGUUAACGCUAAGGGGACUCCAUAUAAGGAGAAAUUUGCACAAGAUCCGAGAACUCACAAAUGGAGCAAUGUGUAUUUUAGCCAACCUGAGCUUCGGGUGACCAGUGGUUAACGCUAAGGGGACUCCAUAUAAGGAGAAAUUUGCACAAGAUCCGAGAACUCACAAAUGGAGCAAUGUGUAUUUUAGCCAACCUGAGCUUCGGGUGACCAGUGGUUAACGCUAAGGGGACUCCAUAUAAGGAGAAAUUUGCACAAGGAAGGACAUCUACCAGACCCACCUAGGAUAAGGGGACAGAGGGAAAACCCAACAAGCCCAGAGUGAACAAAGAAGAACAUAACUGCCCUGUGACCUUCUGCCAUGAUGUCUGAGGCCCUCAUCUGAAAAUUGUUAGUUGUUCAUCUCUGGCAUGUUCCUUUUAAAAUUCAGUGAUAAUAAAAAUGGAUUUUAUCAUAUGGCAACAACCCAUGUAAUGGAACUUGUCUAAGAAGAAUCAUAUGGUAUCGUGUAUGGAUAUAGAAUUCUGUUAACAUCUGCCACAAGUGAAUUAUGACAGUGAGAUCCUUGAUUGAAGCUACCAGUCAUCCCAAAAGAGCUUCUAACCUAUUGUCUCACCCCAGAAUAACUGAAGCUGCCUGUCACAUAGAAGCUUUUAAUUCACCAUCUUACCCAAUAAACAUGGAAGCCAUCUACCACCAGAAUACCUUUAUCAGAUCUUGAAGACGGCAUUUAUUGCAAUGAAUACUUCUUUUCCGUUUCUCUGAUUUUUCAUAUCCACCUUUAAUUUCAAAUUCUCUCACAAUUAGCCACUCUCCAUUGUCGGUCUUUAUACUUUUCAUAUGGGUGUCAGUAAGAUCAAGGUCAGCUAAAGAGCCAGCUAUGUAAAAACAUGCUCUUGCUCAUAAUAUCCUGGAUCUGGGGCUGAGAGUUAGGCUCAGGAGGAUGUGCAUUUCCUUCUCAGUUAUCAGAGGCCACACACCCAUCCUGAUAGGCAAGGACAGAGAAUGACUACCACUGAUGUUAUUCUUUAUGCUUUUCCUAAAAAGAAUUCAUCUAUUUUCUGUGUAUUGUUGUUUUGUCUGUCAGAGUGUCUGGGUACACAAUCUUUCCUUAUUGUCCACAGAAGCCAGAAAAAUGGCACUGAAUCUCCUGGAACUGUAGGAAUAGAUGGUUGUGAGCCAAGUGUAGUUGCUGAAAAUUGAACCUGGGUCCUCUGUCGUUAAGCACCCGGACUGUUCUUCCUUAGUGUUCUCUCCAGCCUUUGACAUUACCUUUAAAAGCAUUCUACUGUAAUGUUAAAAGAUUGUCAAAAGGAAUGACUCUAAAAUGUGACCAGGAUUCACACUCUUUCUUUUACUGUGACCCAGUGUUGAUCUACUUUGCAUUUCAGAAAUGUGAGUGAGGGCAGAAAAUUUCCUGCUGGAGUUACCAGUUUUAAGAUCACUUUUCUUACAGAUUUUUAAUCAUACUCAAUUUUUUAAAGAAUAGUUUAAAAAAUAUUUAAAUUUGUGAGGCUGUGUGACAUUUGUGCUAAUAAAAUGUUUCAUGUAGUAAUGAUAAUAGCUUUAAGUAAUAAUUUAAAUUCUCAUCU